GCUGGGUGUGGUGGUGCAUGCCUGUGAUCCCAGUGGCUCAGGAGGUUGAGGCAGGAGGAUCGCGAGUUCAAAGCCAGCCUCAGCAAUGGCGAAGCGCUAAGCAACUCAGACCCUGUCUCUA
This 121-nucleotide small RNA is filed under the name Marmota monax (woodchuck). Lineage: Eukaryota; Metazoa; Chordata; Mammalia; Rodentia; Sciuridae. The record is from RNAcentral.